GGACGCGACUAACUCAAGCUUAUGCCUCGCGGUUAUCAAGCCUUGCAGGUCAGAUGGUAACAGAUGACUUGAUGCGUAGGUACGAAAACAGGCGAGGAGCAAUGGUAACGGAUAAAGCCGACCGUGAAAGUGUUGAGUCCCGAAAUGACUGUUUUGGAAUGGGCCGAUGGUAUCAAGACGCCAGCAGGCAACAAUACCCCUGGCGUAAAAGGUGAGUCAGGGGUAUCCACCCGGGAUCGUAGGCCG
This 246-nucleotide non-coding RNA is filed under the name Nitrosomonas sp. Nm132. The record is from RNAcentral. Lineage: Bacteria; Pseudomonadati; Pseudomonadota; Betaproteobacteria; Nitrosomonadales; Nitrosomonadaceae.